This 557-nucleotide ribosomal RNA is filed under the name uncultured bacterium. RNAcentral describes it as "bacterial SSU rRNA". It matches the Rfam family "Bacterial small subunit ribosomal RNA", at positions 56 to 610 of the family's 1533-position model. The record is from RNAcentral.
UGCAAGUCGAACGGUAACAUUUCUAGCUUGCUAGAAGAUGACGAGUGGCGGACGGGUGAGUAAUGCUUGGGAACUUGCCUUUGCGAGGGGGAUAACAGUUGGAAACGACUGCUAAUACCGCAUAAUGUCUUCGGACCAAACGGGGCUUCGGCUCCGGCGCAAAGAGAGGCCCAAGUGAGAUUAGCUAGUUGGUAAGGUAACGGCUUACCAAGGCGACGAUCUCUAGCUGUUCUGAGAGGAAGAUCAGCCACACUGGGACUGAGACACGGCCCAGACUCCUACGGGAGGCAGCAGUGGGGAAUAUUGCACAAUGGGGGAAACCCUGAUGCAGCCAUGCCGCGUGUGUGAAGAAGGCCUUCGGGUUGUAAAGCACUUUCAGUUGUGAGGAAAAGUUAGUAGUUAAUACCUGCUAGCCGUGACGUUAACAACAGAAGAAGCACCGGCUAACUCCGUGCCAGCAGCCGCGGUAAUACGGAGGGUGCGAGCGUUAAUCGGAAUUACUGGGCGUAAAGCGCACGCAGGCGGUUUGUUAAGCUAGAUGUGAAAGCCCCGGGCUC